AACGUCUGGAUAUGGUGAAAGAGUUCAACGAACUGUGCCACUCACACGGUCUGGUAAGCAUCAUUGAGCCAGUCGUCCGCCCACCGCGUCGUGGCGAUAAAUUCGAUCGCGAACAAGCGAUCAUCGAUGCCGCCAAAGAGCUGGGCGACAGUGGCGCUGACCUCUACAAAGUUGAAAUGCCGCUUUAUGGCAAAGGUCCGCAACAAGAGCUUCUCUGUGCUUCACAACGUCUGAAU
This 236-nucleotide unclassified non-coding RNA is filed under the name uncultured fungus. RNAcentral's name for it is "sequence contains ITS1". The record is from RNAcentral. Lineage: Eukaryota; Fungi.